RNAcentral lists this ribosomal RNA (35 nucleotides) under Tauphaedusa stearnsii stearnsii. RNAcentral's name for it is "Euphaedusa stearnsii stearnsii partial 5.8S rRNA". Lineage: Eukaryota; Metazoa; Mollusca; Gastropoda; Stylommatophora; Clausiliidae. The record is from RNAcentral.
GAAAGAACACGGAGAAAAUGAACAAGAACAACUUU